This 72-nucleotide transfer RNA is filed under the name Stegodyphus mimosarum. It matches the Rfam family "tRNA". From Rfam's summary of the family: Transfer RNA (tRNA) molecules are approximately 80 nucleotides in length. Their secondary structure includes four short double-helical elements and three loops (D, anti-codon, and T loops). Lineage: Eukaryota; Metazoa; Arthropoda; Arachnida; Araneae; Eresidae. The record is from Rfam by way of RNAcentral.
GCCUUCGUGGUGUAGUGGUCAACACACUCGACGGUAUUCGAGAGGUCCGUGGUUCGAGUCCCGGCGAGGGCA